GUGAGAAGCACCCCGAGAGGGGAAUAGCAAUCCCUGAAGCCGUGUGCCUACAAGCAGUUGGAGCACUACUGUGGCAACACAAGUGUGACAGCGUGCCUUUUGUAGAAUGAUCCUGGGAGUUGCCGUAUGCAGCAAGGUUAAGGCCGCAGGGCCGCAGCCGAAGCGAAAGCGAGUCUUAAUAGGGCGCUUAGUUGCAUGC
This 199-nucleotide ribosomal RNA is filed under the name Anophryoides haemophila. RNAcentral's name for it is "partial Bacterial large subunit ribosomal RNA". It matches the Rfam family "Bacterial large subunit ribosomal RNA", at positions 514 to 707 of the family's 2925-position model. The record is from RNAcentral. Lineage: Eukaryota; Ciliophora; Oligohymenophorea; Philasterida; Glauconematidae.